RNAcentral lists this ribosomal RNA (542 nucleotides) under uncultured bacterium. RNAcentral's name for it is "partial 16S ribosomal RNA". It matches the Rfam family "Bacterial small subunit ribosomal RNA", at positions 355 to 889 of the family's 1533-position model. The record is from RNAcentral.
UAGGGAAUCUUCGGCAAUGGACGAAAGUCUGACCGAGCAACGCCGCGUGAGUGAAGAAGGUUUUCGGAUCGUAAAACUCUGUUGGUAGAGAAGAACGUUGGUGAGAGUGGAAAGCUCAUCAAGUGACGGUAACUACCCAGAAAGGGACGGCUAACUACGUGCCAGCAGCCGCGGUAAUACGUAGGUCCCGAGCGUUGUCCGGAUUUAUUGGGCGUAAAGCGAGCGCAGGUGGUUUAUUAAGUCUGGUGUAAAAGGCAGUGGCUCAACCAUUGUAUGCAUUGGAAACUGGUAGACUUGAGUGCAGGAGAGGAGAGUGGAAUUCCAUGUGUAGCGGUGAAAUGCGUAGAUAUAUGGAGGAACACCGGUGGCGAAAGCGGCUCUCUGGCCUGUAACUGACACUGAGGCUCGAAAGCGUGGGGAGCAAACAGGAUUAGAUGCCCUGGUAGUCCACGCCGUAAACGAUGAGUGCUAGAUGUAGGGAGCUAUAAGUUCUCUGUAUCGCAGCUAACGCAAUAAGCACUCCGCCUGGGGAGUACGACCGC